UACCAUGCAGUCGAGCGGUAGGCCCUUUCGGGGGUACACGAGCGGCGAACGGGUGAGUAACACGUGGGUGAUCUGCCCUGCACUUCGGGAUAAGCCUGGGAAACUGGGUCUAAUACCGGAUAUGACCAAAGGCUGCAUGGCGGUUGGUGGAAAGGUUUACUGGUGCAGGAUGGGCCCGCGGCCUAUCAGCUUGUUGGUGGGGUAAUGGCCUACCAAGGCGACGACGGGUAGCCGACCUGAGAGGGCGACCGGCCACACUGGGACUGAGACACAUCUCACUCUCUCUACGGGAGGCAGCAGUGGGGAAUAUUGCACAAUGGGCGAAAGCCUGAUGCAGCGACGCCGCGUGAGGGAUGACGGCCUUCGGGUUGUAAACCUCUUUCAGCAGGGACGAAGCGAAAGUGACGGUACCUGCAGAAGAAGCACCGGCCAACUACGUGCCAGCAGCCGCGGUAAUACGUAGGGUGCGAGCGUUGUCCGGAAUUACUGGGCGUAAAGAGCUCGUAGGCGGUUUGUCGCGUCGUCUGUGAAAACCAGCAGCUCAACUGCUGGCUUGCAGGCGAUACGGGCAGACUUGAGUACUGCAGGGGAGACUGGAAUUCCUGGUGUAGCGGUGAAAUGCGCAGAUAUCAGGAGGAACACCGGUGGCGAAGGCGGGUCUCUGGGCAGUAACUGACGCUGAGGAGCGAAAGCGUGGGUAGCGAACAGGAUUAGAUACCCUGGUAGUCCACGCCGUAAACGGUGGGCGCUAGGUGUGGGUUUCCUUCCACGGGAUCCGUGCCGUAGCUAACGCAUUAAGCGCCCCGCCUGGGGAGUACGGCCGCAAGGCUAAAACUCAAAGGAAUUGACGGGGGCCCGCACAAGCGGCGGAGCAUGUGGAUUAAUUCGAUGCAACGCGAAGAACUUACUGGUUUGACAUAUACCGGAAAGCUCGUAGAGAUACGGCCCCUUGUGGUCGAUACAGGUGGUGCAUGGCUGUCGUCAGCUCGUGUCCUGAGAGUUG
This 1003-nucleotide ribosomal RNA is filed under the name Rhodococcus sp. AMF1192. RNAcentral's name for it is "bacterial SSU rRNA". It matches the Rfam family "Bacterial small subunit ribosomal RNA", at positions 52 to 1077 of the family's 1533-position model. The record is from RNAcentral. Lineage: Bacteria; Bacillati; Actinomycetota; Actinomycetes; Mycobacteriales; Nocardiaceae.